AUUUAUUUCAGAACACUCUCCCCAUUCCUCUCUCUGAUGAAGGGCCUAGGCCUGAGACAUCAGCUUUUGAGCUCCUAAGAUGCUGCUCGGCCUGCUGUGUGCAUUCAGCUCCAAACUUUGUUAUCGAACAAAUGUGAGACAUUCCAUUGGUGGCCGAUCUGUUGUUGCAGCUGCCACGAGUGAGAUUCAGGACAGUGUACAGUUAGUUCUUCGAGAACGUGUGAUCACAGAAUUCUGAAACACGCCCCAAGGAAGGACAAGGGAAAUUGUUGGAAUGUGGGAGCUCAUGGACAACGUGGAAUUGUAGGGGCUGGAGGAAGCAAGAGUGAUAAGGGAGGGUUCAGGUAGGGGAAGCUGAUGAUUGCGUACAUUUGUGGGCGUACCAGCCACUGCCCUCUACUGGUGGGAAACCAUCACUAGUAGAUAUCCAAACAGACAAGAGGCUGUCUGAUGAGAUUGAGUUCUUCUAGGAGAGCCUCAGAACAUGGCUGCAUCUCCCUCUCCUCAUGGCUCUAUGAUGUUUGAAAAGAAAUUCCCUGCGUGUUUCAUGCCAUUUCAUCCAGACCACUGAACUGUGCCUGUCUCGCAGCUGUCCCUGAACACAAACGGACCCGAGUUGUUGAAGAAGGCAGCUCACCAACUUCCAGGCCAAUUAGUAAUUGGAGAAUAAAUGCUAGUUCUGCAUUUAAUGCUGAUGCAGGAUUAAUGCUUCAACACAACCAGGUAAUGCACCCUUCACACAAAACACAUCCAGCCAGAAAAGGCUCAAUGCGAUGCUCAUGGAAUCUGGGUCUGUAAAGCCACCUCCCCUGACCCACCCAUCUCCCCCAACACCUUCAACCCCGGACUCCAGAACAGCUCUGCUCGCUAAAUGGCAUCUGAAAAUUUGAACAGCAUCUCGAACAUGGCAAGCUGCCCUUGGAAUGCCCCCAUGCCCAAGCGCUGGUCUCUUUGACUGUAACUGCUUCGUACGACAUGUAAUAAAAUAGUCUUGCAAUGUU
This is a long non-coding RNA of Stegostoma tigrinum, 1001 nucleotides long. RefSeq lists it as uncharacterized. The record is from RefSeq and is a predicted model, not a curated record. The transcript has 3 exons. Lineage: Eukaryota; Metazoa; Chordata; Chondrichthyes; Orectolobiformes; Stegostomatidae.